AUAAAUAUGCCGGAAUUGGUAGACGGGUGUUUAGGACCCAUUGAAUUUAUAUUCGUAUAGGUUCGAUCCUAUUAUUUAUA
This 80-nucleotide transfer RNA is filed under the name Akanthomyces muscarius. RNAcentral's name for it is "tRNA-Leu". The record is from RNAcentral. Lineage: Eukaryota; Fungi; Ascomycota; Sordariomycetes; Hypocreales; Cordycipitaceae.